RNAcentral lists this long non-coding RNA (245 nucleotides) under Elaeis guineensis (African oil palm). Its description in RNAcentral is "long non-coding RNA (EGUI_LNC035033)". The record is from RNAcentral. Lineage: Eukaryota; Viridiplantae; Streptophyta; Magnoliopsida; Arecales; Arecaceae.
CGCUUUCUAAUGGUUGAUUGAAGAUCUUCUUCACUUCUCUUAGACCCUCUCAGAGAAGAAGAAGAUUUGGAGAAAGAAGAAGAGGAAGAUGAAGAUGGGAGAAAUCCUUUCUCACGUUUCUUUUUCUCUCUUCCCAAAACCCCACGCCAAGAAGGGAUGCAUGCCUAAGAUGCCUCACGCCCAACCCCUUUCUCUCUUCUUUUUUCAUGGUAAAAAACUAUUUUUUUUUCUCUGAGCCCAUGCCC